This 274-nucleotide ribosomal RNA is filed under the name uncultured bacterium. RNAcentral's name for it is "partial 16S ribosomal RNA". It matches the Rfam family "Bacterial small subunit ribosomal RNA", at positions 523 to 796 of the family's 1533-position model. The record is from RNAcentral.
CUACAGAGGGUGCGAGCGUUAAUCGGAAUUACUGGGCGUAAAGCGCGCGUAGGCGGCUUAUUAAGUCAGAUGUGAAAUCCCCGGGCUUAACCUGGGAACUGCAUCUGAUACUGGUAAGCUAGAGUUUUGGAGAGGGAAGUAGAAUUUCAGGUGUAGCGGUGAAAUGCAUAGAGAUCUGAAGGAAUACCAGUGGCGAAGGCGACUUCCUGGCCAAAAACUGACGCUGAGGUGCGAAAGCGUGGGUAGCAAACGGGAUUAGAUACCCUUGUAGUCC